This 253-nucleotide ribosomal RNA is filed under the name uncultured bacterium. Its description in RNAcentral is "partial 16S ribosomal RNA". It matches the Rfam family "Bacterial small subunit ribosomal RNA", at positions 524 to 776 of the family's 1533-position model. The record is from RNAcentral.
UACGUAGGGUGCGAGCGUUAAUCGGAAUUACUGGGCGUAAAGCGUGCGCAGGCGGUUUUGUAAGCCAGAUGUGAAAGCCCCGGGCUUAACCUGGGAAUGGCAUUUGGGACUGCAAGGCUGGAGUGUGGCAGAGGAGACUGGAAUUCCUGGUGUAGCAGUGAAAUGCGUAGAUAUCAGGAGGAACACCGGUGGCGAAGGCGGGUCUCUGGGCAGUAACUGACGCUGAGGAGCGAAAGCGUGGGUAGCGAACAGG